This 217-nucleotide long non-coding RNA is filed under the name Nicotiana benthamiana. Its description in RNAcentral is "long non-coding RNA (NBEN_LNC023725)". The record is from RNAcentral. Lineage: Eukaryota; Viridiplantae; Streptophyta; Magnoliopsida; Solanales; Solanaceae.
GAGGAAGAAGAGAAUGUCUUGCAUUCUUAUGGGAACCAUAACCCCCUCUUAUAACAUAUGAGUUAUGAAACUCAAAAGUCAUAAGCAUGUAACCAUGUAUGUAACUUAGUUAGCCCAUCAUUAACUAAGGUUACCCUUUUGGGUAUCUACACAUUAGUCCUACACUUUAUAUGACAAUAUAUUGGCCCCCUUUACAAUGUCCAUAAGACCACCAAUU